Molecule: long non-coding RNA, 576 nt
Filed under: Bos taurus (domestic cattle)
Lineage: Eukaryota; Metazoa; Chordata; Mammalia; Artiodactyla; Bovidae
Description: long non-coding RNA NONBTAT023810
Source: RNAcentral
UUUCUUUUUAAAAAAAAAACUCUUUAUUCAUUAAAACAUCAUUGGCAUAGCACUUCUCAUGUUCAAUCUCAUCAAAUAAUAAAAUUUCCAUUUUCUGUACUCAAUUCUUAAGAAUCAGAGAGAUUAACUAAAAGGAAGAGAAUUAAAAACUUGGAAACUUACGGCAGGUAAGUUAUUACACAAGAGAAAGAAGUUUUCUUACUAACAGCAAGAUUAAUGGCACAAUUCAACCAAAACUCAUAUACAUUUUACUGCUUAAUUUACAUAUUAUUUUGGUGGAAAAAAUAGUAUUCUUUAUUCUUUCAGUUUCUUUAUGCAAAAAUACACUUCUACAGGGACAUCACUUAGAUGUUAUGCAAACCUUAUAGAGCCAUGAACAGGCCAACUCUAGAGUCCAAGAUGCUUGAAAGACUUCAAGAAAUUAUUUAAAAACAAACUUAACAAAAUAUGUGCUGGAUCACGCCCAUGUCCAUCCAAAAUGUAUCCUGUCUCUGACUGUGGCAGUAGAGAAAGGUCUACAGAUCUUUAUGAUAUGAAAUAAUUUAAAAGGGAUUGGAUAACAUCCUGCCACCCUAC